GCCAGUGGCCUUAAGGAAGAACUUAUACCUGAAAAAUUAGAAAGGGUAGAAAAUCCAUUAGAGGAAGCCGUUAAGUUCCUUAUACCUCUUAAGAACCUUGUUGCUGAUAACAUUGACACUCAUCUGUUAGCAUUUGAAAUAUAUUUUAGAAAAGGAAAGUUUCUGUUAAUGCUGCAGUCUGUCAAACGAGCUUUUGCUAUUAACAGUAAUAACCCAUGGUUACAUGAAUGUUUAAUUAGAUUUUCUAAAUCUGACAUUGUGAGCAAAGUUCUAUCUCAAGAAAUGCAGAAAAUAUUUGUCAAAAAGGAUUUGGAGAGUUUUAAUGAGGAUUUUCUGAAACGUAACGCUACCUCUCUUCAGCAUCUACUUUCAGG
RNAcentral lists this small RNA (374 nucleotides) under Pan troglodytes (chimpanzee). Its description in RNAcentral is "processed transcript". Lineage: Eukaryota; Metazoa; Chordata; Mammalia; Primates; Hominidae. The record is from RNAcentral.